AUACCUUCUAAAGCAUCAAGUGUGGUAUUUGUUCUUAUCAGUUUAAUAUCUGAUAUGUGAACAUAGUUCACAUGAUAUUAAAUUAAUGUUUUGAGGGAGAGGGUCAAUGCAGUAGCUUGCUAUUGAGACUCUUGCUUUGCACUUCUGCAAGGGUCUGG
RNAcentral lists this small nuclear RNA (158 nucleotides) under Phaseolus vulgaris (common bean). RNAcentral's name for it is "snRNA U2". It matches the Rfam family "U2 spliceosomal RNA". Rfam says of the family: U2 is a small nuclear RNA (snRNA) component of the spliceosome (involved in pre-mRNA splicing). Complementary binding between U2 snRNA (in an area lying towards the 5' end but 3' to hairpin I) and the branchpoint sequence (BPS) of the intron results the bulging out of an unpaired adenosine, on the BPS, which initiates a nucleophilic attack at the intronic 5' splice site, thus starting the first of two transesterification reactions that mediate splicing. Lineage: Eukaryota; Viridiplantae; Streptophyta; Magnoliopsida; Fabales; Fabaceae. The record is from Rfam by way of RNAcentral.